UUGCUAAGCUAUUACAGUCACCACCCGCCCCCUGUUAACAUUCGGAAAAUCAAGGCUGUUACUCUUCAGAAUUGUCAGGUUAGAUAGUAUGGAAAACAACAACAACAAAGACAAAUGAGAACUUCACAUAUCAUGCAAAUGAAAACAUUGAAACUGAAACCGAACUUGUAUGUCUUUUUAUUUGUCAGAUGGUGGUAUUCGCCAGCCUGUAUCUAGUCUGAGACUACAUUAGUAUCUGAGCAGGCUUUCUAGGCCUGCUGACCUCAGCCUGUUUAUAUCAGCCUUUAUACUCUGUCCAUAACCCCUCAUCUGCCAGAAAACUUGAAGAGUUUAUUACCUGUAGAGUUGUAAGACUUUGGUUUUUGAAGUUGGGAUUGUAUUUAAAACUAGAUUUAAUUAGUCUGUAAUGAAUAUGAAGACUUUAAAUGUGAAAUUGUAUGCUUUUUUGGUUUAGAGUAUUAUGAGAAGCCUGGUAAGCAAAUUUUACUCCAAGAUAAUUGCUGCCAAAUUUGAAGAGGUGGUCAUGGAGAGAACAGUAGGUCUAAAAGCAAUCUGAAAGGUAGGAAAUUUUACCCUCAAAAGUGUAAUGUCGCUUUGGGAAGCUCCUGUAAAUAUUCAGACUUGUUUGAUCUCUUACACUGAGAGAUUUGAGGGCAGUUGGUACAAUAUUUUGAUGCCCUCACCACUGCCUCUUCUCCCCACCCUUCAAAAUAAGUACGAUCCACGGUAGCAGCCACGCUUCAUUUCGAAGGAACUGUUUUAAUUUAUUUAAAAGUUUAAAAACCCUCUAAGAUAACUAAAACUUCCUUUUUUCCCUCCCCAUCCACCUAAUUUCUCCUUUAACAACAUUUUUAUCUCUAUCUUUACUUCCCUCCAUUAGUACUUUGAAAAACAACAUUUUGUCAAACAUUUCCCUACGUAAAGCUAGAUGGGAAAGCUCGGUCUUGUUCUUCAUGCAAUAACAGACUUCCUGUUGGUUUACCACUUGCCGUGUCCUUUUUAUUAUUAAUAUUCCAAAUAUCCUUUUCUUGGCUUUUUUCCACCUCCUGUUUUACCUUGGGUCAUUUGCUACUAGAAAUUUGAACGGUAUAUUUCAAAUAACUUAGUUCCUGUGGCUUCAUGACUUCAGUCCUCAUGACAGUCUCAAAAUACUUUGCUCCCUUUUUCUGUUCAUGGGACAUGAUACCUAAGCAAGUAGGAACUGGGUUUGGUGUUUCUCUUAAUAAAUAAUGCUCAAUACUUACCUAAUCAAAUGGCAUCCAUUUGAAUAAAGUGACAAUAACUAAAGCUAGUUAAUGUCAGUGACAUUAAACUAACUCCAGAAUUCAGGAGUUUUAACGUUAGAAUUUAGAGUUAGCAGAUAGAGUGCGGCUUCAUUUCCCCAUGGUGGCCCGUCUCUCCUGAUCCCUUUUAUAGUCUGUCUUCCUGCCUUCGAAGGUGAUGACAGCAGUACCCUAUUAGCUUCUGUUCUCUUGAGCACUUGGUUUGUUGGUUAGCUGUUUCAGUCUUGAGACUAUCUAUUUAGCUUCUGUUUUAUGUUACAAAGGUAGCAUUGGUGUUGGGGGUUUUUUCUCUUUUUGUGUUUGAAGUUUCUGUUUUCUGAGUAAAGCUUAUCUUAUUUUUGAUUAAUAUUCAAUGGCACAGAAAAAGUACACCAAAAGCCUUUUUUUUCCAAAAUUCAUUAGUUAGCACUUAAAUGAGAAUAACUUGUGAAUCAUUAAUCUUAAUACUCUUGAGGAUUUGUUACCCUUGUGCAUAUAAGGUUAAUUAGUGAGUUUUACUGCCAGGCUGUUUUUUUCUCUGUACCAUUGGGAAGUUUUAGAAACUUCUGCCCAUGAUCUGGUGAUGAUCUGAUGCUUUAUAAUUAAGGAGCUACUGUUGCCUCCAGGAAACUAAAGUAUUUCAUCAAGGUUUUUUUUUUUUCCAGUUUUUUGCUUUGUUUUUCCCUCUUUUCUUUGCUCCUCAUGUUUGUUCUUCAAACCAGGGUUUUGGAGGUAUGCAUGCAAGCCUAUAAAUGAAGACCACAGCUCUUCACGUGUGUAGCAUGUGUAUUAUUGUCUAGCUACAUCUGCAAAAAACUUCCUUUACAGAGGUUUGGACUAACGUUUCACAUGCACAUUUCAAAACAAAAUGCUUCAAUAAACAGCCCUUUUACCUGCUGAGAAGAGAAGUGGGCUGUGCUUGUCCCCCUGACAGCUAGUAUUUGUUUUGGAAGUGAAUUUAGUAUGUUACACAAUAUUAUGACUAGAAGUGUGCAAGAAAUAAAGCAAAAGAAACUUCUGUUUUCAUGAAAAUAUUUUUCAUGAAUCAUUGCUCUCAAAUGAAAAUAUAAAAUUUCUGAAUAUCAUAUUGUCUGCGGCACUACCUGGUUUUUAAAUGUGUAGUAGUCAUUGAAAAGAAACUAAAUUUCUCCUUCCACUUGGUAUUUCAAGAAAAUUGAAAAUAUCCCAAGUAAAAAUGAUUUAUAUUUAAAAGUGACUAUUUGCACAAGUAAAAAUCUGAUUUUGUGUGCCUGAGAAGAAUGUCUUGGUUAUGUGCAGGGAGCCAUCUCAAUGCACUGUUUUUCCUAUUGGGAAUGACAAACAAGCUGACACUAUUGUCUUUGAUUAAAAAAAAAGAAAUCACAAUGUUGAUACGAUCGAGGUGUAACCACUAUCAAUAUUUAGAAGUUUAAAAAGACCAUAAGCUAGCAUUGGAAGGAACACCAUGGUAGACUUUUUUGUAAAUUUAUUUUGUAUUUAAUUAAAUGCAGUAUAAAGGCUGGUGAAGUGUAAUAUAAUUGUGUAAACAAAUCCUGUUAAUAGAGAGAUGUACAGAUUCGUUUUGUACUGUAUCUUGAAACUUGUGAAAUAAAGAUUCCACCUCUGGUUAUCCUGUAUCCUAUAAUAUUAGUCCCACAAC
Molecule: non-coding RNA, 2901 nt
Organism: Ceratotherium simum simum (southern white rhinoceros)
Lineage: Eukaryota; Metazoa; Chordata; Mammalia; Perissodactyla; Rhinocerotidae
Source: RefSeq, a predicted model, not a curated record